This 433-nucleotide ribosomal RNA is filed under the name uncultured bacterium. RNAcentral's name for it is "partial 16S ribosomal RNA". It matches the Rfam family "Bacterial small subunit ribosomal RNA", at positions 29 to 507 of the family's 1533-position model. The record is from RNAcentral.
AACGAACGCUGGCGGCAUGCCUAACACAUGCAAGUCGAACGAGACCUUCGGGCCUAGUGGCGCACGGGUGCGUAACGGGUGGGAACCUGCCCAUAGGUUUGGAAGAACUUCCCGAAAGGGGUGCUAAUACCGGAUAUAGUACUCGGUACAAAGGUUUAUAGCCUUUGGAUGGGCCUGGGUCGUAUCACCAAGUUGGUAGGGUAAAACCCUAUCAAGGGGUCGAUCCAUAGCUGGUUUGAGAGGAUGAUAACCCACACUGGUGCUGAGACACGGCCCAGACUCCUGCGGGAGGCAGCAGUGGGUGAUAUUGGACAGUGGGCGAAGUCCUGAUCCAGCAAUGCCGCGUGAGUGAUGAAGGCCUUAGGGUUGUAAAGCUCUUUUACCCGGGAUGAUAAUGACAUUACCGGGAGAAUAAGCUCCGGCUAACUCCGUG